RNAcentral lists this ribosomal RNA (253 nucleotides) under uncultured bacterium. RNAcentral's name for it is "partial 16S ribosomal RNA". It matches the Rfam family "Bacterial small subunit ribosomal RNA", at positions 524 to 776 of the family's 1533-position model. The record is from RNAcentral.
UACGGAGGGUGCAAGCGUUAUCCGGAUUCACUGGGUUUAAAGGGUGCGUAGGAGGGCAGGUAAGUCAGUGGUGAAAUCCCCGAGCUUAACUUGGGAACUGCCGUUGAUACUAUCUGUCUUGAAUGCUGUGGAGGUGAGCGGAAUAUGUCAUGUAGCGGUGAAAUGCUUAGAUAUGACAUAGAACACCAAUUGCGAAGGCAGCUCGCUACACAGUUAUUGACUCUGAGGCACGAAAGCGUGGGGAUCAAACGGG